AUCCAUCUCACGUAACUACAGAUAGCCUCUUCUGAACUAAUUAUACUAGGAUUAGUUAUCGCUUAGGAGAGAAACAGACCGUUCUAGAACACAAUCCAUCUCACUGGAAAGAAGAUGCCUAAAAUAAUCAGAUGAAUUACUCCCCUAAACGUGCACAUUUCUCUCCAUUGACUGUAAAAGGAGCGCUGGGAAAAAGCUCAGAUGUUGACGUCGACACUGUAAACACCCAGUGCUGGUGAAAUGAUUCUCUGCCUGUAAAUUCAAGCCACAUACCAGUUGCUUUAAAAAGGUAUAUUUAGAAAAGCAGCAUAGGAUACCUAUAAAGCAUAUUUGCUCUUCGAUACCCUUUGCGAUCACAAGCUGAAAUGAAGGGUCAAUGUAGCCCUGCAAUUGCUGCUCUACUUCUGUUGCUGAAGAUACUGCAUCAAAACAGAGCAAAAAUAUCCCCAAGAAAACGCUAAUUAUAGCCUGUCGGUCUGAAGCAGCAGACUCCCUACAGAAGAGCCGCUUUGCAAAAUCUAAUUUAUAGCUCCAAUAUCAUGCUCGCAGUCUCCACUACAGCAGAACAGCAACACUAGAAAGCACCACUCCUUCAUUUUAUCAAAAAUUGCCAAAGGAAGCCGGGGCAAGUGGCUGGUUCGGGGACAGGGCAGAGGAUGCACGGCUCCUGAAAAAGGCUGAGCAAUACUGGUGGGGCUGCGCUACGCUGUCACAUCCCACGGGACACCAGCUCCGCAGGUGGAUCCGAUGUGGAGGCAUCCAUGCUUACAUCGGGUACAUGCUUCAGCUUAGCAAAAUGAGCACUGCACUGUCAGAAAGGGGAAGAAGCGGCGCUUGGGGCACCACUGGAGGGUGUUUAGGGUUUCCUU
Molecule: long non-coding RNA, 869 nt
Organism: Chroicocephalus ridibundus (black-headed gull)
Lineage: Eukaryota; Metazoa; Chordata; Aves; Charadriiformes; Laridae
Exons: 3
Source: RefSeq, a predicted model, not a curated record